GUCUUUUUGAAUUUUAUUUAAAGUUUGACCUGCCCACUGAUAAAUUAAAUGGCCGCAGUAUUUUAACUGUGCAAAGGUAGCAUAAUCAUUAGUCUUUUAAUUGAAGGCUUGUAUGAAAGGUUGGACGAAAUAUAAACUGUUUCAUUAUAAUUUUAUAUAAAAUUUUAUUUUUUAAUUAAAAAGUUAAAAUAUUUUUAAAAGACGAGAAGACCCUAUAGAUCUUAAUAAUUGUAAUUAUUAUAAUUAUAUAAAAAAUUAAAAUUAUUAUAGUUAUAAUUAUUUUAUUGGGGUGAUAUUAAAAUUUAAUAAACUUUUAAUUUUUUAUUCCAUUAAUUUAUGAAAAAUUUGAUCCAUUUAUUAAUGAUUAAAAAUUUAAGUUACCUUAGGGAUAACAGCGUAAUUUUUUUAGAGAGUUCUUAUCGAUAAAAAAGAUUGCGACCUCGAUGUUGAAUUAAGAUAAAUUUUAGGUGCAGAAAUUUAAAUUUUAAGUCUGUUCGACUUUUAAAUUCUU
RNAcentral lists this ribosomal RNA (511 nucleotides) under Hemerodromia baetica. RNAcentral's name for it is "partial 16S ribosomal RNA". The stretch from base 388 to 511 matches the Rfam family "Bacterial large subunit ribosomal RNA", at positions 2473 to 2597 of the family's 2925-position model. The record is from RNAcentral. Lineage: Eukaryota; Metazoa; Arthropoda; Insecta; Diptera; Empididae.